UACGUAGGGUCCGAGCGUUGUCCGGAAUUACUGGGCGUAAAGAGCUCGUAGGUGGUUUGUCGCGUUGUUCGUGAAAACUCACAGCUCAACUGUGGGCGUGCGGGCGAUACGGGCAGACUGGAGUACUGCAGGGGAGACUGGAAUUCCUGGUGUAGCGGUGGAAUGCGCAGAUAUCAGGAGGAACACCGGUGGCGAAGGCGGGUCUCUGGGCAGUAACUGGCGCUGAGGAGCGAAAGCGUGGGGAGCGAACAGG
This 253-nucleotide ribosomal RNA is filed under the name uncultured bacterium. RNAcentral describes it as "partial 16S ribosomal RNA". It matches the Rfam family "Bacterial small subunit ribosomal RNA", at positions 524 to 776 of the family's 1533-position model. The record is from RNAcentral.